CGUGUAAGCGGCCAGAUAGGUCAGCUGUGAAAACUCGAGGCUCAACCUCGAGAUGUCGGCUGAAACCAUCUGGCUAGAGUCCGGAAGAGGAGAAUGGAAUUCCCGGUGUAGCGGUGAAAUGCGCAGAUAUCGGGAAGAACACCCGUGGCGAAGGCGGUUCUCUGGGACGGUACUGACGCUGAGACGCGAAAGCGUGGGAGCGAACA
This 206-nucleotide ribosomal RNA is filed under the name uncultured bacterium. RNAcentral describes it as "partial 16S ribosomal RNA". It matches the Rfam family "Bacterial small subunit ribosomal RNA", at positions 568 to 774 of the family's 1533-position model. The record is from RNAcentral.